UCCGGGAAAAAAACGUUUAUCCAAAAAAAAAGUAACCACUUUUCCUCAAUUAAAUCUCUCUCUCUCUCUCUCUCUCUUGACAAAAAAAAAAUUCUCUCUCUUUCUCUCUUAUAUCCGCUUCGAUAUUCAUCAAUAAAAAAAGGGAUCGAAGAAUCACAUCCACUGAAAGCUAUAUUCUGGUUAUCAACUUCAUUGACUCAACUAUUUUUUAAAUCCAUCGAUCUAUUCUCAGAUAGAUUUCUGUUUCCAUGAGUAGAUCGGCCAUCACGUUUCGACUUUGGAGACAUCAUAUUGAAAAGUCAAAAUCUUCAUUGAUAGAAGAUAAUCACGUCCAUGAAGCCAGGUUCUCGUGCUAGAAAGAGUCCUUCAGGAGACCAGCUAAGGUAUGGAAUACCAAGACCCUUGACUCGGAAAGACAGAUCAUGGCUUCAGUUUUUAAAACGGGGAUAAAUCGUCUGCAAUCCUUUGAUCGGUGAAGGCGGGAAGUAAUAGUACACCAACUAAUCCGUUAUGGAGAAAUAGAUGGACAGUCAUCAUAAGUGAUAAGAGAAGCUCACACUGAGUACGGAGACAAAGACAGAGAGAUGAGAUUAACUUGUGACAUCACAGAGCAUAGGGAGCGAAGACCAAUGAGUAAGUCAACCACCUUGACGAUCAACAUACUUAUAAAACGAACCCGAAAGCACAGCAUCAUCUGCUAUUGUCAUCCUGUACUUAUGCUGUGAUGUUCGGUACUGACCACCAGCUGCAGUCACGGAUACGUUUUGAACAACUCCCCAUUUAUCAAUGGGUAAAACACGUUGAACUCGGUACAUGAGACUUGGUUUGCAGGAAGCAUGGAUCUUGUUUCCCUAAAAAACACAAGAAUAUAUUAGAUUCAAAGGAACAUAAGUAAUGUUAAAAGAGAAGAAAUGGUGUAGAUGAAAAGUUACCCAUUGGUCUGCUAAAACCAUCUCAAAGCUAUCACCUCCGGAAGAUGUAUGUUGCUUCCAUGAAUGUAAACAUUUCACUUGAACUCUCCAACUGUUUUUGAAAGGUCUAGUUUUGUGAAAGGAGUAUAAGCAGUCACGAUAGACAUGUUUAGGAUUUAGUUUUUUUUUUUGAUAUGUUUGUGACGUUAGAUGAAGUGUAUCUAUAUAUAUAGUUGUGAUUGGAAAAAGUAAUAAAAGAUUUUGUUAGUUGUGAGCUA
Brassica napus (rape) is the source of this 1189-nucleotide long non-coding RNA. RefSeq lists it as uncharacterized. The record is from RefSeq and is a predicted model, not a curated record. Lineage: Eukaryota; Viridiplantae; Streptophyta; Magnoliopsida; Brassicales; Brassicaceae. The transcript has 5 exons.